AUCUUUGCGCAGUGGCGAUAUCGUAACCAAUGAGGUUCUACCGAGGUGCGAUUAUUGCUAGUUGAAAACUUUUAUGCGAAUCUAUACUAUUAUAAAUAUGUGUAAUAGAAAUUUUAAAAUAUAUUUCCGACACUUAAAU
This 139-nucleotide small nuclear RNA is filed under the name Lasius niger. RNAcentral's name for it is "U4 spliceosomal RNA". It matches the Rfam family "U4 spliceosomal RNA". Rfam says of the family: U4 small nuclear RNA (U4 snRNA) is a component of the major U2-dependent spliceosome. The structure of U4 snRNA from yeast and human has been reported. The record is from Rfam by way of RNAcentral. Lineage: Eukaryota; Metazoa; Arthropoda; Insecta; Hymenoptera; Formicidae.